GGAUCCAGACUUGAUUAUGGCUCGGGACGAACGCUGGCGGCGCGCCUAACACAUGCAAGUCGAACGAGCGAGAGAGAGCUUGCUUUCUCGAGCGAGUGGCGAACGGGUGAGUAACGCGUGAGGAACCUGCCUCAAAGAGGGGGACAACAGUUGGAAACGACUGCUAAUACCGCAUAAGCCCGCGACCCGGCAUCGGGUUGAGGGAAAAGGAGUAAUCCGCUUUGAGAUGGCCUCGCGUCCGAUUAGCUAGUUGGUGAGGUAACGGCCCACCAAGGCGACGAUCGGUAGCCGGACUGAGAGGUUGAACGGCCACAUUGGGACUGAGACACGGCCCAGACUCCUACGGGAGGCAGCAGUGGGGAAUAUUGCGCAAUGGGGGAAACCCUGAUGCAGCGACG
Molecule: ribosomal RNA, 398 nt
Filed under: uncultured Bacillota bacterium
Lineage: Bacteria; Bacillati; Bacillota
Description: bacterial SSU rRNA
Rfam family: Bacterial small subunit ribosomal RNA
Source: RNAcentral